This is a long non-coding RNA of Thrips palmi, 238 nucleotides long. RefSeq lists it as uncharacterized. NCBI's taxonomy places the organism in Eukaryota, Metazoa, Arthropoda, Insecta, Thysanoptera, Thripidae. The transcript has 3 exons. The record is from RefSeq and is a predicted model, not a curated record.
UUAGAUAAAUACAAGUAAUUUGGAGAUGGAGCAAUAUGUGGCCCUCGUUUAUGAUUCUGGACACCACAUUUUGGUUUUGAGUUGCCCGAAGCAGUCACUGAACACUAUUUUUGUUUUGUUCUGAUCUCGACAUUGUCGAUAGAGUCCAACUCAUCACUGCAUCUUCUUUUAUGGACUAUUUUUAUAAAAUACAACUUAUCAAGAAAUGGAGUAAUAUGUAGUUAUGGAUCACCACAUU